GAAUUAUCUAGUGAAGAAUCAGAAUAUGAAAGCACUGAUGAUGAGGACCGACAGAGAUGAACAAAUUAAUGGAACUAGCAAAUCUUCAGCCCAAAAGACCUAAAACAAUAAAGCAGCGCCAUGUGAGAAAAAAGAGAAAAAUAAAGGAUAUGUUGAAUACACCUUUGUGUCCUUCACACAGAGUUUACAUCCAGUGCUGUUACCUUCAGAUGUAUUUGACCAACCACAACCUGUAGGUAACAAAAGAAUUGAAUUCCAUAUAUCUACCGACAUGCCAGCUGCAUUUAAGAAAGAUUUAGAAAAGGAACAAAAUUGUGAGGAAAAAAAUCAUGUUUACCUGCUACUGAAGUUGAUGCAUCCAAUAUAGGAUUUGGAAAAAUCUUCCCCAAACCUAAUUUGGACAUCACAGAGGAGAUUAAAGAAGACUCUGAUGAAAUGCCUUCAGAAUGUAUUUCUAGAAGGGAAUUGGAAAAG
This 474-nucleotide long non-coding RNA is filed under the name Homo sapiens (human). Its description in RNAcentral is "long non-coding RNA NONHSAT004894.2". The record is from RNAcentral. Lineage: Eukaryota; Metazoa; Chordata; Mammalia; Primates; Hominidae.